This is a long non-coding RNA of Mauremys reevesii (Reeves's turtle), 368 nucleotides long. RefSeq lists it as uncharacterized. Lineage: Eukaryota; Metazoa; Chordata; Testudines; Geoemydidae. The transcript has 4 exons. The record is from RefSeq and is a predicted model, not a curated record.
GACUUCUUUCUGGAUAACAUGGCUAGAUGGCUCACAAACAAAAGUUGUCCUGCUCUACCUGAAAGUCUGAGUGAACUGUAUUCCAUUAAAGGACAAAUUUUGCAGUCUUGAGCAGACUCAGCUACUUCAGACUGCACUACUUGGUUGUCCUGCAGAGCUAGCAAAGCUAAGGGUGUCCUUCUCCUUGUGCAUCAUCCAUGCAACUGACAUUUAAGAAUCUUCAUCCUUUUCCUUGAUGACAGCGUGUGGCCAACAUAUCAUUCUAAGUUUCAUCUAUCAGUGACCUCCCAGACAACCAUUCUGCAUCCAUGUUACAGAGAGAUUUAUCCCACCAGGCCACAAGAGGGAGAUGUGUGACUCCUGCUGCC